RNAcentral lists this unclassified non-coding RNA (1830 nucleotides) under Hevea brasiliensis (rubber tree). Lineage: Eukaryota; Viridiplantae; Streptophyta; Magnoliopsida; Malpighiales; Euphorbiaceae. The record is from RNAcentral.
GCCCAAUGAGCCUAAAUGAUUGGCCAAGAGGGGAGCGGACCCACACAAGAAAACCAAGGCGCUUUCCCCCGCACAAGGACGAUCGCCGGUUGAUGGUGUGGGCCUGGCUGCCGGUUAGAAGAGGUCACGCAAGCACUGAACGAAAAUCCGGCGGGGAAUUGCUGUAGGGCUAUCCUGUAAGGUUUUGGUUUUGAAUUUUAGAUUACUGAUUUAAAUUUAUGAUUACUUAGAUUUUAUUAACAAGUAGAUCUUUUUCUCAAUAUUGCUAUAUGUUAUUGAUAAUUUCGGGGCUCGUCUACUUUAGUUCAGUAUUCUUCCCUAGCUAUAUAGCCCAGGAUGAGUGACAGUAGUUUUGGUGCUUGUGGUGUGUUGUUAAUUUGGUAAUUUUAGGUUUUUUUUUGUUGGGUAGGAUUUGCAGUUUGUCAUUGGUUUGUUGUAUAAAAGAGUUUGAUAAAAGUAUUGAUCCAAAUGUUCAUUUUGAGUCAUCAUAAUCAAUGAAGGUGAAAUAUUUCAUUGCUGAAAUUUUUAUUCUUUUUCUUUAUUGGGCAUUUUCUCUAUUGUAGUGAUCCAAAAGUUCAUUAAUUACUGUUAUUAUUGGUUUUUUUAUUUUUGUUGAAAUGGGGACGCAUGAAGUCUUAUCGUAUUUGUUGGAGAGAAUCUUCUGUAUGCUUACUAUAUGUUUGGUUUUUGGCCCAAAUGAAUUUUGCAUUUUCUUUUGUAGGUAGAGAGACCAUGCACUGCCACCUUGAACCACCAUGAAAGAUGGUAGAGAUAAUGAAUGAGGGUGCUUUAGUUUUUCUUAAUCUAACAGAUUUGUGAAAAAAAGUAGUUGAUGCAGUUGUAGGCUCUCUAUAAGUGAGAGCUCAUAUGAAAGUAGUCAAUAUUACAGACAUAGCUAUAACAAUUUGUGUUUAAAAGAUGAUAUGGUAUUUAAUAAAUUAAAUAUAAUCUCAUAUAUUAGGCUGUGGCAGUAGCCUUACUGUUAAUAUUUAGCUAGAUGCCUAUAUGGCAUGAAGUACUGGUUUUUCAUGAAGUGCAAAAUCAUAUUCUAUCAGGAUAUUGGUAAUUUUUCUGAGUCAUUAUAAGCUUGGUGAUUAUUUAGGAGUCCCUUGCUUUCUUACCUUGUUAAUAGAGGCUGUAGUUAUUCAAGUCCUGCUUUGGAUACUUUGCUAAAGUUCCUUUUCUUUUUCAGUUAUUUGUAUUUUACAACACCAAAAAUAAAAUUAAAAGAAGCCUAAGUGUUUCUUAUGACUUCUAGUAAAUACAACAGAUUUGAAACUGUACCACUCAGCAUAUCUUCGCUUUGUUGUGCAAUGACUUGAGAUUUCUGAAUUGGAUGCCAUGAUGUGGAAUGACCACUUAUGGAGCUUAGUCCUCUUUUUAUUCAUUGCAUAAUCUCAUCUUCUUCAUGUAUAAUAUUAUCCUGGUGACAUUUUAGGGGGGCAGCUAUCAUGUACAAUGGUGUGAAAAGUCUAAUGUUUAUUGAACUGUUUACCAAUUUGUUGGUUGUAACUUACAUUAAUAUCAUCAUGCCUGCCUAGAAAGGAAGAGGAGACGAUAUAAUGUCUUCUUCGGCAUCUCACAUCUGUAUGCUUAACUUGAAAACAUGUCCUUGACUAAACAUUUUCUUUAGAUACUGUAUUUUAAAUUUGCUAUUUAUGUGGACAUUUAACAGUUAUGUUAUUUGUUAGGGUACGAUGGAAAACGAUGAGUUAAUUUGGGGAGACAAACUCAUAUUGAGAGGGUUGAAGUUCCAUGGCUUCCAUGGGGUGAAACCAGAAGAAAAGACAUUGGGUCAGAAGUUCUUGAUAGAUGUAGAUGCCUGGAUGG